RNAcentral lists this long non-coding RNA (682 nucleotides) under Sinocyclocheilus anshuiensis. RNAcentral describes it as "lncRNA (ENSSANG00000026816.1)". Lineage: Eukaryota; Metazoa; Chordata; Actinopteri; Cypriniformes; Cyprinidae. The record is from RNAcentral.
AAUCAGCCGUGUGUUUUGCAGAGGUGCAGCGGCUGCAGGAGCAGGUGAGGAAGCUCCAGGCGGAUGCAGCGGAUGAGGGCCGAAGACGAGCACACAUUGAUUCUCUGGAAAAGAAGGCUAUCCAGAAGAGAGAUGCCCUACUGAGACAGUCCGAGGCUGAUCUUCUGCAGGCACAGGAGAAGAUCCGAAGCAAGGCAGCGGAGGCAGAGAGGCAGGCCAUCUCUGCUCGAGGGCUGGAGGCUGAUCUGCAGAGAGCCAAGAAAGAGAAAAGGCAGAGGGAGAAAGAGUGCGCCUCACUCAAAACACAGAUGCUUCAGCUCAGAGAACAACUGAAGGAGGCUCACGCCACCUGCAGAGACACGGCCCAAGAGCUGAUGCGGCAGCAGGAGAAAGUGCAGCUGUUGGAGAGAGGUCAGCGUCUGGCUCAGGAGCAGCUCUCAGAGCGUGUGACGGAGGUGGUGCAGGCAGAGAAAGCCCAGAGGAGACUCCAGGCAGAGCUCAAGAGAAUAACAGAGAGUCUGGAAAGCACCCAACUGGAGCUCCAGGACUCACGGGGGAUGCUGGAGCGUGUGAAGACAGAGGCCAGCAGCAGCAGACAGGAAGCCCUGAGACUCCAGCAGGAUAAACAGCAGAUCCAGGAAGAACUGGACAUCAGCAGAGAGACCAUCUCAGCCCUGCAGAC